GGUAUUAUACUUUAUAUAGAAGAUAUGAUUUGCACUCAUAAAGAAAGAUACUCUUUUAUACCA
RNAcentral lists this transfer RNA (63 nucleotides) under Eumandya parva. RNAcentral's name for it is "tRNA-Ala". The record is from RNAcentral. Lineage: Eukaryota; Metazoa; Mollusca; Cephalopoda; Sepiida; Sepiolidae.